RNAcentral lists this unclassified non-coding RNA (240 nucleotides) under soil metagenome. RNAcentral describes it as "partial contains 5.8S ribosomal RNA, internal transcribed spacer 2, and large subunit ribosomal RNA". The record is from RNAcentral.
AAGACUAUAGACCUGCGGAGUACCUGCGGAAGGAUCAUUACCAAGAGAAAUCUUUCAACACUGAAAGAUCUUUUCCUUUGUGCUGGCUUUGACCGUAUGUAAUUUUGGGACUUUAAAAUGGUUCGCAAGGGCCGGUCCCAAAAACAAUAUAUCAUCCUUAUGAAAUUUUUUCUGAACAAUUAAACAAAUGAUUUUAAUAAUCUGUUUAAAACAACUUUCAGCAACGGAUCUCUAGAUCGG